RNAcentral lists this ribosomal RNA (232 nucleotides) under uncultured bacterium. RNAcentral describes it as "partial 16S ribosomal RNA". It matches the Rfam family "Bacterial small subunit ribosomal RNA", at positions 104 to 334 of the family's 1533-position model. The record is from RNAcentral.
CGGGGUGAGUAACGCGUGGGUAACCUGCCUCAUACAGGGGGAUAACAGUUAGAAAUGACUGCUAAUACCGCAUAAGCGCACAGUGCCGCAUGGCACAGUGUGAAAAACUCCGGUGGUAUGAGAUGGACCCGCGUCUGAUUAGCUAGUUGGUGGGGUAACGGCCUACCAAGGCGACGAUCAGUAGCCGGCCUGAGAGGGUGAACGGCCACAUUGGGACUGAGACACGGCCCAA